AAUAUUUUCACAACAUAUUAAACUUCAAUCUUGCCCAGAAAACUGAUCACUCAUGAACCAACAUAUGAUAAAAAGUACAAAUACUAUCUCCUACUAUCACAAUCUCUCUAUAAAUAAAAAUUAAUAUUGUAGUAUACAAUUGAUUGACUAGGAAAAAUUAAAAGGAAAAAGAAAAAAUAAAUCAUCAAAAAAACUACAAAAAAUAAAUACAUUCAACUAUUUAAGGUCAACUCCCAAGAUCUGUACAGCCAAUAAGAAUCUAGUUAGUUCUCCUUCUCUAUACAGGCCUUGCAAAUAUUAUGUUAGAUUCAUGACCCCUGCGCAAACCUACAGAUCAGAAAUUUAUAAAUAUAUACAUAUAGAUUACAUAUAUACACAUGUAUAUAUUUAGAUAUAUAGAUGUAUAGAAAAAACCGAAAAGUGAAUGCCUGGACAGAUGUAUUUGACUUUCCUCAAGGACCAUAAAUGGAAAAAAAGGAAACUAUUUUAGAUUGUGGAAGAACAGAAACUAAAUUAGGAUGCCAUAUACGUAGACAGAGAAUCUAACAUUUUAUCUCCUUGUGAAGAGUUAAUAAAACACAUACAUAUUUGCACGUGUAUAUAUAUAUAUAUGUAUAUAUAUAUAUAUAUAUAUAUAUAUAUAACACAUACAUAUACAUGUAUAUAUAUAUAUGUACAUAUACAUACAUCUCCUUGUGAAGAGUUGAUAAAACACAUACAUAUUUGCACGUGUAUAUAUAUAUAUAUAUACAUAUAUGUAUAUAUAUAUAUAUAUAUAUAUAUAUAUAUAUAUAUGUAUACAUAUAACACAUACAUAUACAUGUACAUAAGCACGAUAUGAUUAAUAUAUAAAAGGAGAUUAGAAUAGAGUAAAGUGUAGAGCUCCCUUCAAUCCAAACAAGGAUCUGAAGCUGGGUAAUGCAGCUCCUGAUAUAUGCAAGCCACAAGCUUAUCCUCCAUAUAGAUAAAGGAAUGGGAUAGGGCUUGAGGGAUCCAUAGAUCAGCAGCUCUAUUUUCCCACAAAGUUCCUCUAUUGGACUUUAAGGAGCUCCACUCAAAACUCUUUAACAUAAAAAUUAGAAGAAAUAAAUAGUUAAGAAAAUUAUCAAGAAUUAACUUUUUCUAGUAAAAUUCAUAAAACCCAAAAACCAAAAAUCUAGAUGUAUAAAAUCUGAAACUAAAAAUCUUACCUUUACAAGAUCCCAAUACGAAAUGAUUAAAAGGUAAUCAUCAAGAAACAAACUAUGUCCUAAAAUCAAUGGAACCCAUAAAAACCCACAACUAUGAAAUAAAAAAAUCAAGAAAAUAUUCUAGAGACGGCAGAUCUAUGAAUAUCUAACCACACCCUUGUACAAAUAUAGGGUUGUUAAGAAAACCCAUGAAUCUUUUCAUCAAAACUAGGAGCAUGAGAGAUCUAAAAAGAAAAUCAAACCAUUUCUUGACCUAAGAUCUAGUUU
Molecule: long non-coding RNA, 1457 nt
Filed under: Panax ginseng (ginseng)
Lineage: Eukaryota; Viridiplantae; Streptophyta; Magnoliopsida; Apiales; Araliaceae
Description: long non-coding RNA (PGIN_LNC015806)
Source: RNAcentral